RNAcentral lists this ribosomal RNA (175 nucleotides) under Aeromonas salmonicida subsp. salmonicida. RNAcentral describes it as "partial 16S ribosomal RNA". It matches the Rfam family "Bacterial small subunit ribosomal RNA", at positions 1361 to 1533 of the family's 1533-position model. Lineage: Bacteria; Pseudomonadati; Pseudomonadota; Gammaproteobacteria; Aeromonadales; Aeromonadaceae. The record is from RNAcentral.
GGUGAAUACGUUCCCGGGCCUUGUACACACCGCCCGUCACACCAUGGGAGUGGGUUGCACCAGAAGUAGAUAGCUUAACCUUCGGGAGGGCGUUUACCACGGUGUGAUUCAUGACUGGGUGAAGUCGUAAGAGACUACCUGGAGGCAGCUGGGUUGGAUCACCUCCUUACCUUAA